Molecule: ribosomal RNA, 497 nt
Filed under: uncultured bacterium
Lineage: Bacteria
Description: partial 16S ribosomal RNA
Rfam family: Bacterial small subunit ribosomal RNA
Source: RNAcentral
GAUGAACGCUGGCGGCGUGCCUAAUACAUGCAAGUCGAGCGAACAGACGAGGAGCUUGCUCCUCUGACGUUAGCGGCGGACGGGUGAGUAACACGUGGAUAACCUACCUAUAAGACUGGGAUAACUUCGGGAAACCGGAGCUAAUACCGGAUAAUAUAUUGAACCGCAUGGUUCAAUAGUGAAAGACGGUUUUGCUGUCACUUAUAGAUGGAUCCGCGCCGCAUUAGCUAGUUGGUAAGGUAACGGCUUACCAAGGCAACGAUGCGUAGCCGACCUGCGAGGGUGAUCGGCCACACUGGAACUGAGACACGGUCCAGACUCCUACGGGAGGCAGCAGUAGGGAAACGUCAGGAAUGGGCGAAAGCCUGACGGAGAAACGCCGCGUGAGUGAUGAAGGUCGUCGGAUCGUAAAACUCUGUUAUUAGGGAAGAACAAAUGUGUAAGUAACUAUGCACGUCUGGAAGGUACAUAAUCAGAAAGGCACGGCUAACUACGUG